CCUUGAAUCCCAACAAGAGAAGAAUCUAGAUUCUGGGGUCCAGCAACACAAUCACAAUAAUAUUUCUAAGAAAUUUGAUACGGGAUGCCUUCUAUAUUAUUUGCCAACAAAAGAGACAUCAGCCCUGACAAAGAAAUAUCUACUACCUGGAAAGAAAAAGGAAUUCAGUUCAUAUAAGGAGGAAUGUCACAGGAUUUUGAGAAACCUGAAAAGAAACAACAUGGAUCUAAAAAGGAGAAGGGAUUACAAAAAGAACCACUGCACAGUGGCAAGGAAGCACAAAGUUAACCUGCAUAGUGCCAAUAAAGCACAUGGUCCAAGAGACCAACUAAUCCCAGUGGGACUAAUGACAUUCUGCGCCAAGACAAGAGGACUUGAACUUACUUGAGUUUUGAGAUUGCGAUUGUUUGAUAUACGUUAGACACAGAACUUCUUCAUCCUACAUUCUACAAAACAUCUCACUUUGGCUGCCAUCCUGGCUCCCCUAUGCCUGAGAGAAAAGCCAAGAAGAAAAGAUUCAUCUCAAGACCAGCAGUGGAGGGAGGCUGGGAGGAAACAGAAAAGAUGGAGCAAAGCUGCAGCCCCAGCAGGAAUUUGAAAAAGCUCUCUUCGGUGCUGCCUUGAGGACAACAUUAGCAGGCAAGAGACACUGCAAGAGCUGCCACUCAAACCCCCAAGAUCCCCUUCCCACCCCCAAGUCCUCACACCAAGAGCCAAGAGCCCUGCUGCUUCCUAGAACCCUCAUUUAUAACCAUGGAGACACCACUUCUUCGAGGUCUCUCUGGUUGGACAAACAUGACCUCAUUCCAGGUCAGAGGCCAGUGUUCUGGAUGCCAGGAGUCACCAGAAACAAGAGGCAAGUAUCUUUCCUGAUGGAGCCAUAAGCCCUUUGGCAUCCUUUCAUUGUCCUCCCAAUCAAAGUGUGGGGCUGAGACCUGGAACCUAAAUGGGUUUUCAAAACUUUCCUUUCUUAGAAGAAAAAGGAG
Gracilinanus agilis (Agile Gracile Mouse Opossum) is the source of this 986-nucleotide long non-coding RNA. RefSeq lists it as uncharacterized. NCBI's taxonomy places the organism in Eukaryota, Metazoa, Chordata, Mammalia, Didelphimorphia, Didelphidae. The transcript has 4 exons. The record is from RefSeq and is a predicted model, not a curated record.